Molecule: ribosomal RNA, 253 nt
Filed under: uncultured bacterium
Lineage: Bacteria
Description: partial 16S ribosomal RNA
Rfam family: Bacterial small subunit ribosomal RNA
Source: RNAcentral
UACGGAGGAUGCAAGCGUUAUCCGGAAUGAUUGGGCGUAAAGCGUCCGCAGGUGGCUGUGUAAGUCUGCUGUCAAAGAGCGAAGCUCAACUUCGUAAAGGCAGUGGAAACUACACGGCUAGAGUGCGUUCGGGGCAGAGGGAAUUCCAGGUGUAGCGGUGAAAUGCGUAGAUAUCUGGAGGAACACCGGUGGCGAAGGCGGCGUCCUGGACCAACACUGACACUGAUGAGCGAAAGGCAGGGGAGCAAACGGG